Molecule: ribosomal RNA, 253 nt
Filed under: uncultured bacterium
Lineage: Bacteria
Description: partial 16S ribosomal RNA
Rfam family: Bacterial small subunit ribosomal RNA
Source: RNAcentral
GACGAACCGUGCAAACGUUAUUCGGAAUCACUGGGCAUAAAGGGCGCGUAGGCGGCUCCAAAAGUCAGGGGUGAAAUCCGGCAGCUUAACUGUCGCAGUGCCUUUGAUACUGUGGAGCUAGAGGGAGGUAGGGGUCUGUGGAACUUCCGGUGGAGCGGUGAAAUGCGUUGAUAUCGGAAGGAACGCCGGUGGCGAAAGCGACGGACUGGAUCUCUUCUGACGCUGAGACGCGAAAGCCAGGGGAGCAAACGGG